RNAcentral lists this ribosomal RNA (254 nucleotides) under uncultured bacterium. RNAcentral describes it as "partial 16S ribosomal RNA". It matches the Rfam family "Bacterial small subunit ribosomal RNA", at positions 524 to 776 of the family's 1533-position model. The record is from RNAcentral.
UACGUAGGGGCCAAGCGUUGUCCGGAUUUAUUGGGCGUAAAGAGCUCGUAGGCGGUUGGGUAAGUCGGGUGUGAAAACUCCAGGCUCAACUUGGAGAUGCCACCCGAUACUGCUCUGACUUGAGUUCGGUAGGGGAGUGGGGAAUUCCUGGUGUAGCGGUGAAAUGCGCAGAUAUCGGGAGGAACACCUAUGGCGAAGGCAGCUCGCUGGGACGUUACUGACGCUGAGACGCGAAAGCGUGGGGAGCAAACAGG